UGGUGGAGUGAUUUGUCUGGUUAAUUCCGAUAACGAACGAGACUCUGUCCUCCUAACUAGGUUGUGUUUUCUCGGGUUGGUGUUUCUGGUGUUCCUUCUCGGGGCGCCGGCCCAAUCCACUUGUGAACACAACACUCUUCUUAGAGGGACUGGCGGCUGUUAGCCGCACGAGAUAGAGCAAUAACA
Molecule: ribosomal RNA, 186 nt
Filed under: uncultured eukaryote
Lineage: Eukaryota
Description: partial 18S ribosomal RNA
Rfam family: Eukaryotic small subunit ribosomal RNA
Source: RNAcentral